AGUUCAAAUUAAUCGGAUUUUAACGUAAAUACCUGACACCAUGUUCGUUAUGACAAGGAAGGCCACUGCCAAGGACAUGGAGGUGAAACUGAAGUUAGCCCUGGAAAAGCUCAAAACAUCCGAAGAGCUCUGUCAACAACUGUUAAGGGAACGUGAUGACAGCGAGGAAGAAAUUCAGAAAAUAAUUAAUAAACGCAGAUGGCAGCUCUGAAGUGGAACAAAAGUGCUUUAUUUUAUUUUGUAUUUUUCUGU
Molecule: unclassified non-coding RNA, 252 nt
Filed under: Helicoverpa zea (corn earworm)
Lineage: Eukaryota; Metazoa; Arthropoda; Insecta; Lepidoptera; Noctuidae
Description: uncharacterized LOC124643491, transcript variant X2
Source: RNAcentral